AAUGGUCUAACGACUGAACCAGUAACUUGGAAGAAUGUAAAUGUAUUAAUUAUAAUACAAUAACGAUUAAAUCGUAUAAAAUUCUAAAUAGAAUAAUGAUAAUGACAAUUUUCUAUUUAUAAGUCUUGACCAAAUUACGUGCCAGCAGUCGCGGUAAUACGUAAAAGACUAGUGUUAGUCAUCUUUAUUAGGUUUAAAGGGUACCUAGACGGUAAAUUAAACUCUAAAAGAGUACUUUUUUACUAGAGUUUUAUAAGAGAAGGAAGAAUUUUUGGAGUAGUGAUAGAAUACUUUGAUACCAAGAGGACUGAUAACGGCGAAGGCGUCCUUCUAUGUAAAAACUGACGUUGAGGGACGAAGGCUUAGGUAGCAAUAAGGAUUAGAUACCCUAAUAGUCUAAGCAGAAAAUGAUGAAUGCCAUAGGCUAGGUAAUAAAUUUAGUCUAUAAAUGAAAGUGUAAGCAUUCCACCUCAAGAGUAAUAUGGCAACAUAUAAACUGAAAUCAUUAGACCGUUUCUGAAACCAGUAGUGAAGUAUGUUAUUUAAUUCGAUAACCCGCGAAAAACCUUACCACAAUUUGAAUAAUAUUAAAUUAUUACAAGCGCUGCACGGCUGUCUUCAGUUAAUGUCGUGAGAUUUGGUUAAUUCCUUAAAUUAACGAAAACCCGCACUUUAUUUGUUUACAUAAGGUGGUUCGCCAUUAGAUUGGAAUCGAUAAAAGGGACUAAGACAAGUCAUCAUGGCCUAAAUAUUG
RNAcentral lists this ribosomal RNA (754 nucleotides) under Trichocoma paradoxa. RNAcentral's name for it is "SSU rRNA". It matches the Rfam family "Bacterial small subunit ribosomal RNA", at positions 370 to 1209 of the family's 1533-position model. Lineage: Eukaryota; Fungi; Ascomycota; Eurotiomycetes; Eurotiales; Trichocomaceae. The record is from RNAcentral.